RNAcentral lists this long non-coding RNA (530 nucleotides) under Nicotiana benthamiana. Its description in RNAcentral is "long non-coding RNA (NBEN_LNC016942)". The record is from RNAcentral. Lineage: Eukaryota; Viridiplantae; Streptophyta; Magnoliopsida; Solanales; Solanaceae.
CUAUUCACUUUUUCUUUGGUUAUUUUUUUCAAUAGCUAUUGGAAUUAGAUACGGGAAAUACUGUGGAGUAGGAUGGAGUGGAUGUCCAGGGGAGAAACCUUGUGAUGAUCUAGACGCUUGCUGUAAGAUUCACGAUGAUUGUGUAGAAAAAAAUAACCAAAGAAAAAGAUACGGGAAAUACUGUGGAGUAGGAUGGAGUGGAUGUCCAGGGGAGAAACCUUGUGAUGAUCUAGACGCUUGCUGUAAGAUUCACGAUGAUUGUGUAGAAAAAAAUGGUACUGUUUAUUUUCAUUUUUGUUGAUUUCUCAUGUUAAUACUAUAAAGUUUGUUUCUUUAUACUGUACUAAUUUGUUUAUAUCCUUUCUUUGAGAUUUGGUUACUACUUUGAGCUUGACUACGGCUUCUCUGUUUUCAUUAGCUUGAAUAUGAGAGUGAAACCUUAUAUAGUUGAAAAUCCGUUGGAGUAUACAUUGUAGCAGAAGUUGACAUGUUGACGUUGAAGCUUUGAUUUUAUUAGCUGAUUUGGACCU